AUCUCUUGGCAUGCGUAGUGGAUGCAUAUUCUUAUCUAACCUUCUCACUCAAACCUCUUCUAUCUCAUUGUCUCUACCUCUCUUUUCUCCCCUUUAAUACCUUUUUCUCUCACUUUCUCUUCCUUGCAUCUCUACCUUCCUCUUACCACAAGGUAAACAAAGAUGGCAGGGUAUGAUAAGGAAGACUAUUUCUCUGCCCCGAAUGCCGAGACAACAUGCGCGGGAAAGUACGGUACGCUUGCCCCAAAGAAGAAGCCUCUGAUAUCGAAAAAUAAUGAAAGAGCAUUCUUUGAUUCAGCAGACUGGGCAUUAUGCAAGUCUCAACAGCAAGGUGCUGGAGUGAAUCAACAAUCUACAACAGCUGUGGAGACAUUGCGACCAAAACUACAGAGAACUCCACAUCAGCAGCUUCCUCCAAGACGACCUGCAUGCACAUCUGGUUGAGAUAAUUUCGUGAAUUACUCUAAUGUGGAGAGUAGACUUAAUAAGUGGAACAAGGAUUUGCUCAGUCAAUUUUACUAUUACAAAACACAUGAUGUUCCUGAUCUGAUAUAUAUAUAUUUACUUCAUGCUUUCUAUUAUUAGCACUUCAAUAAAAAUUUCAUUUCAUUUCACUUUUGUUUCUUCUAUUCUAUCUGUUGGAUAUAUGGGCCUAACAACAGUGGAAGAUGGGACGUGAAGGGUCAAAUUAA
Glycine soja is the source of this 692-nucleotide long non-coding RNA. RefSeq lists it as uncharacterized. Lineage: Eukaryota; Viridiplantae; Streptophyta; Magnoliopsida; Fabales; Fabaceae. The record is from RefSeq and is a predicted model, not a curated record. The transcript is spliced from 7 exons.